UACAGAGGGUGCAAGCGUUGUUCGGAAUUAUUGGGCGUAAAGCGCGCGUAGGCGGCUUUGCAAGUCGGGUGUGAAAGCCCUCAGCUCAACUGAGGAAGGGCGCCCGAAACUGCAGAGCUUGAGUGCCGGAGAGGGUGGCGGAAUUCCCCAAGUAGAGGUGAAAUUCGUAGAUCUGGGGAGGAACACCGGUGGCGAAGGCGGCCACCUGGACGGUAACUGACGCUGAGGCGCGAAAGCGUGGGUAGCAAACAGG
RNAcentral lists this ribosomal RNA (253 nucleotides) under uncultured bacterium. Its description in RNAcentral is "partial 16S ribosomal RNA". It matches the Rfam family "Bacterial small subunit ribosomal RNA", at positions 524 to 776 of the family's 1533-position model. The record is from RNAcentral.